AGGCUGGGGAUCUGUCCUGGGGAAGGGGAAAAGCCGGGCUGUGAUGCGCUGCUCACCCCACCCCUGCAUUUCCCUCUUGGUGGUCCCACUCAUGAGGCAGAAAUGGAGGCCGUAGCUGGGGUGGCUCCGAGGGCAGGGCCGGCCGCCUGCGCUCAGCACCAAGGACCUCAACAGCUCUGGCUUCGGCUGGGGACAUCAGCCCGCUGGGUCUCCCUGGGAGGAGGGACUUUUGAAAAGUUUUGGUGAUGCCCAAUGGGCACAAACCAAGGCGGGGGGGGCGGGUUGACUCCCCAGGAGCCGUCCUGCUCAGGACAUGGUGCUCCUCCCUGGGGUGACACCUCAGGCUCCAGCCUGCAGGGGCCGGGACACGGCCCUUUGCCUGUUGCUCAGGUCUGCAGACACUGGGGCACUGCAGGCCCCCCGGAGGGGCAGGGCCCUCUCACUCAGGCCAGGACCAGAGGAAGAAGGUCGCGGGAGGUUAUGAGCAUCAGAGACGAAACCUGAGGGCCAGAGGCCAGGCCAGGUAGGCCAGACCUGCCUGGGGUAAGCAGAGGACACCUACAGCCCUCCCCUCUGGCUCGAGUCAGGAAGGUUUUGCUGCAAGAGGGAGAGAAUAACUGGGCCUGGAACACUAAAAGGGGCCAAAUGCUCUGUGAAGGUUAAAGGGAGACAGGGAGGAGGAAGCGCGAACGACACACGCACACACUCUCCUGGGGAAAUAUUCAUCCAUUUAAGGAAGGGGAGCUCAUCACACUAGCAUCAGGUCUAUAUACAGUAAGACGGGGCCCCUUCUCCUCCCGCGAUCCGGCUUGUGUCGCCCGUCAGGCCCAGAGCCCAGGGAAGCCUGCAGCUCGGGGUGAGGAACAGUGGAAGCCGCCGGGAAGGGCAGUGGGCCCGGGAAGGCAGGGGCUGGCGCGGCAGGCCCAGCCAAGGGGCUGCCCGGGGCCUCCCCAGCACCCCCCACACCCUUCCCUAGGCUUUGGCUGAGACCCUCCUCUUUGGGACGGUGAUGAGCAGACAGGGAGCCAUGGCCAGGAGUUAAAUAGCGGCAACUCGUAUUUAUUACAAUUAUAUACAGUUGUAUAUUAUAGUCUGAA
Molecule: long non-coding RNA, 1097 nt
Organism: Choloepus didactylus (southern two-toed sloth)
Lineage: Eukaryota; Metazoa; Chordata; Mammalia; Pilosa; Megalonychidae
Exons: 3
Source: RefSeq, a predicted model, not a curated record